UACGGAGGGAGCUAGCGUUGUUCGGAAUUACUGGGCGUAAAGCGCACGUAGGCGGCUGUUCAAGUCAGAGGUGAAAGCCCGGAGCUCAACUCCGGAACUGCCUUUGAAACUAGACAGCUUGAAUCCAGGAGAGGUGAGUGGAAUUCCGAGUGUAGAGGUGAAAUUCGUAGAUAUUCGGAAGAACACCAGUGGCGAAGGCGGCUCACUGGACUGGUAUUGACGCUGAGGUGCGAAAGCGUGGGGAGCAAACAGG
Molecule: ribosomal RNA, 253 nt
Filed under: uncultured bacterium
Lineage: Bacteria
Description: partial 16S ribosomal RNA
Rfam family: Bacterial small subunit ribosomal RNA
Source: RNAcentral